AGGAGGAGGGAGGAUACUUCUGGUUGGAGAAGCAAAAGAUCCUGAACCUUCCUGAAAAACAACCUCACACAUCUCACGCGCCUCUCUGCCUCGAGGACGACAUCGUCACAAAUUGAUGGAAUAUUCCAAACGCGUUUAUCCAUUUGGAUCUUAGGGGUCAACUUUCAUGUUAAAGAAACUUGUUCGAUUUUGUUUUUUUGGGAGGGGGGGGGGGGCUCAGAUGGAUUUCGUGACUAAGGUGAGGACCUUGGGUUAUUGCUUUUAAGCGGCUCCAAUCAUUUGACAAAAUUCACAUAGAAAUAGCAGCUCUCUAAAUUUGCACAAUUUGUAGAUUCGAUGUAGAAUAUAAAACUCCCAAUAUUCCAUAAUUUCAAACUGUCGUUUAAGGUCGCGAAGUCGGUAUCGUUGAUUGAACUGUUGAACUAUUGAAGCUUAUGUAUAGACAUUAGACUAUAAAUCAUUUAUAUUAAUACACAAAUAUUUUGUGAACAAAAGCCUGCCAAUCCCAGAUUUAUGGAGAUAUUUUGAGAUUGCGAACAAAAGAGUAUUUAGGGGAGGUAUUUAUAGAAGGUGGUUUUAUUCAAGGCCACUCUGUCUGCCGAGCGCAUUGACUUGUUGAAGCCGAGAACCAACUGUCGACGGGACGAAUAGUUGGAUAAAUGAGUCGUAUCACAAGGACUGAUAUGAGAACGAACCCUGAACCGUCACCGUGUAGUCGUUUUUUAUUUUGCUUCAGGGGUAUAUAAUAACGGAUAAACACAAACCAACGGAAUAACCAACCGUCUAUUCAUCUAAAUCUAUGAUCAGCUCGGUGUGUGUUUCGUCUUACCGAGGACGAAAGUCAGGUAACAAACCUCCGUCCAAGACAUGUCUGAAGGAAGAGAUGACCAGGGGGGAAGACUCGGAAAAAAUUGUUAUCAAUGUUGGUGGCACAAGACACGAAACCUACAAGAGUACACUUAGGACCCUACCGGGGACACGCCUGGCCUGGUUAGCCGACCCGCCAGAGCCAAACGCAAACAAGGAACCCCUCCCCGUAGGACCCAUAUCGCCAACUACAAACGAGUUAUUUUUCGACAGGCACCCUGGCAUAUUCGCUUAUGUAUUGAACUAUUAUAGGACUGGCAAGCUUCAUUGCCCCGCCGAUGUCUGCGGGCCUCUUUUUGAAGAGGAGUUGGCGUUUUGGGGGAUAGAUGAGACCGACGUGGAGCCGUGUUGCUGGAUGACAUACCGGCAGCAUCGGGACGCAGAGGAGGCGCUGGACAUAUUCGAACCACCGGACCCAGAUGACACGGACGAUGAACUACCUAGACGGUUCGGCAUUGAGGACUGCCCGGAAAGAUCGAGGGGAUGCUGCGAAGUUUGGCAACCAAAGAUAUGGGCACUCUUUGAGGACCCCUACUCAUCCAGGGCUGCUAGAGGCAUAGCGUUUGCCUCCCUCUUCUUCAUUCUGGUUUCCAUCACUACGUUCUGUCUGGAGACCCACGAGUACUUCAAUGACCUGCAGAACCGCACGGAACACGUGGUGGUGGGGAACCACACGGAGGUGGUGGUCUCGGUGGAGGUGGUGACCAAGCCCAUUCUGACCGUGGUGGAAGGCGUUUGUGUGGUCUGGUUCACCUUGGAGUUCUUCGUCCGCAUCGUGUGCUGCCCCGACAAGCUGCUCUUCAUCAAGAACAUGUUAAACGUCAUUGACUUCGUGGCCAUCCUGCCCUUCUACCUGGAGAUGGGCCUCAGCGGCCUGUCCUCCUCUAAAGCAGCCUCCGACAUCCUGGGGUUUCUACGGGUCGUCCGCUUCGUCCGGAUCCUCCGCAUCUUCAAGCUGACCAGGCAUUUCGUUGGUCUGAGGGUUCUCGGCCACACGUUGAGAGCCAGCGUCAACGAGUUCUGCCUGCUCAUCGUCUUCCUGGCGUUGGGCGUCCUCAUCUUCGCCACGAUGAUCUACUACGCGGAGCGGAUAGGGGCCCAACCGGACGACCCGCGCGGCUCUAAACACACCCACUUCAAAAACAUCCCCAUCUCCUUCUGGUGGGCCGUGGUCACCAUGACCACCCUGGGCUACGGGGACAUGUACCCCCAGACGUGGCUGGGCAUGAUGGUGGGUGCGCUGUGCGCCCUGGCGGGGGUGCUGACCAUCGCCAUGCCCGUGCCUGUUAUAGUCAAUAACUUUGGGAUGUACUACUCCCUGGCCAUGGCUAAACAGAAGCUGCCUAAGAAGAAGAAGGCGCACAAUCCGAACCCGGACGCUCCCACGGACACGGCCUCGUUCGGGAAGUCUGUCGCUACCUCUCCCAGGGACAGUACUCAGAGUGAUACGUGUCCGCUGGCUGCAGAGGAUAAUAUCAACAGGAACCGCUCAGACUCCAAGCAGAACGGAGACGCCAACUUGACUCUGUCGUCGGAUGAGGGGUGCAGCCUGACCCAGCCGCUGUCACCCAGCGAGAAGUGGAACCUACGGCACAGCCACGGCCGCAAACACGCCCGGUCGGUCAGGGGGAACAAGGCCACCAAGAAAGAGGCGACCUGCUUCCUGCUUACCUCUGGGGACUUCUCGUGCACUGGAGGAGAGCACACCAUACGCACUGCCUUGUGAAUCUCCUUACCCCCUUCUGGCCCCUGCCUGUCUGCCAGCCCAGAGAGAUAAAGAGAGAGUAGAGACAGAGAGAGCAGAGAGAGAGAGAGAGAGAUAGAAAGAGAGACAGAGAGAACAAAGAGAGAGAGAGACCACAAAUUCCAAUUGGCUAUACUUUAACUCUUUAACAUCAUCCUCAGCUCUGGCAUUUUUCCCAAUACGUGGAACCAAUCCACAAAAGUGGAGACAAAUUUGACCCCAAUAACUACUGUGGGAUAUGCGUCAACAGCAACCUUGGGAUAAUCCUCUGCAUUAUCAUUAACAGCAGACUCGUACAUUUCCUCAGUGAAAACAAUGUACUGAGCAAAUGUCAAAAUUGGCUGCUUACCAAAUGACCAUGUAUUCAGCCUGCACACCCUAAUUAACAAACAAAGAUACCAAAACAAACACAAAGUCUUCUCAUGCUUUGUUGAUUUAAAAUAAUAUUUUGACUCAAUUUGGCAUGAGGUUCUGCUUUGCAAAUUGGUGAAAAGCGGUGUUGGAGGAAAUACAUACAACAUUAUAAAAUGUACACACACAAAAAAAAAAAUCGGCAAAAAAACACAUUUCUUUCCUCAGGGCCGUGGGGAGAGACAGGGAUGAAGCUUGAGCCCCACCCUCUUCAACAUGUAAAUUAUAUCAAGCAAUUGGCGAGGGCACUAGAACAGUCUGCAGCACCCGGCCUCACCCUACUCAAAUCUGAAGUCAAAUGUCUACUGUUUGCUGAUCAUCUGGUGCUUCUGUCCCCAACCAAGGAUGGCCUACAGCAGCACCUAGAUCUUCUGCACAGAUUCUGUCAGACCUGGGCCCUGACAGACCUGGGCCUUGACAGACCUGGGCCCUGACAGUAAAUCUCAGUAAGACAAUAAUGAUGGUGUUUCAAAAAAGGUCCUGUUGCCAUGACCACGAAUACAAAUUCCAUCUAGACACCGUUGCCCUAGGUCACACAAAAAAACUAUACAUACCUCGGGCUGAACAUCAGCACCACAGGUAACUUCCACAAAGCAGUGAACGAUCUGAGAGACAAGGCAAGAAGGGCCUUCUAUGCCAUCAAAAGGAACAUCAAAUUUGACAUACAAUUAGGAUCUGGCUAAAAAUACUUGAAUCAGUUAUAGAACCCAUUGCCCUUUACGGUUGUGAGGUCUGGGAUCCGCUCACAACCCAAUAAUUCACAAAAUGUUCCAAACACCAAAUUGCACGCAAAAAUAUCUUCCAUUGUACAAAAUAAAACACCAAAUAAUGCAGAGGGGAGUUAGGCCGAUACCCGCUAACGACCAAAAUCCAGAAAAGGGCCGUUAAAUUCUACAACCACCUAAAAGGAAGCGAUUCCUAAACCUUCCAUAACAAAGCUAUCACCUACAGAGAGAUGAACCUGGAGAAGAAACCUACAGAGCCUCAGGACAGCAACACUAUUAGACCCAACCACAUCAUGAGAAAACAAAAAGAUAAUUACUUGACACAUUGGAAAGAAUUAACCAAAAAAAACACAGCAAACUAAAAUGAUAUUUGGUCCUAAACAGAGAGUACACAGCGGCAGAAUACCUGACCACUGUGACUGACCUAAAAUUAAGGAACGCUUUGACUAUGUACAGACUCAGUGAGCAUAGCUUUGCUAUUGAAAGAGGCUGCCAUAGGAAGACCUGGCUCUCAAAAGAAGACAGGCUAUGUGCACACAGCAAAUUCUAUUUUGAUAAACUCGCAUAUCUAUUGGGUGAAAUACCACAGUGUUCCACAGCAGCAAUAUUUGUGACCUGUUGCCACAAGAAAAGGACCACCAGUGAAGAACAACACCAUUGUAAAUACAAUCCACAUUUAUGUUUAUUUAUUUUCCCUUUUGUACUUUAAUUAUUUACACCUCGUUACAAUAGACAUUUGAAAUGUCUCUAUUCCUUUGGAACUUUAUUGUAUUUUUUAUUUCACUUUUGUUUAUCUAUUUCACUUGCUUUGGCAAUGUAAACAUAUGUUUCCCAAAGCAUGAAUUAAAUUGGAUUGAGAGACAGAGAGAACAGAGACAGCGCGAGCAGAGAGAGAGAGAGUAGAGAUGGAGAGAGUAGAGCCAGAGAGAGCAGAGACAGAGAUGGGGAGAAGAGAGAGAGAGAGAGAGAGAGAGAGUAGAGAUGGAGAGAGUAGAGACAGAGAUAGCAUAGAAAGAGAAAGAUGGAGAGCCAGAGAGAGCAGAGACAGAGAUGGGGAGAAGAGAGAGAGAGAGAGACUAUGAUAGAGAGAGAGAGACCACAGCAUCACCAGCCACACCCCAACCAGCUAAGACCAUUUCAAGCAAACCCUGGCAACACCCUAUAUAGCCCCCCCCCCCCAUAUCAGACCUAUGCCCCUUCUUCCCACACCAUGCCCCCGGCGGCAAGGACCUCAACAUGACAGCAGGACAUAUGCCCAGGCCGUGAGCAGAGCAACAGGCCCAACCCCCACUAUUACACCCGCCCAAGCCCCAUCCUGCGACCUAAGAGAGAGCUGUAAAGACAUCCUGGCAGCUACUGGGAACUAUGCCCAACCAGAAAUGACCACUCUGACCUGAAGAAGUUGAUUGGUCGAUA
Molecule: RNA transcript, 5163 nt
Organism: Salvelinus fontinalis (brook trout)
Lineage: Eukaryota; Metazoa; Chordata; Actinopteri; Salmoniformes; Salmonidae
Gene name: potassium voltage-gated channel subfamily C member 1-like
Exons: 6
Source: RefSeq, a predicted model, not a curated record